GCUGAAGAUACAUGGAGGCAGAGGUGAUGGUGGAUGACGUGGGGCUCGGAGGAUGGAGCAAGCACGCAUACCGCAGCACUGGGCGUCAAGCUCUGGAUCAAGGCCAUGGCAGACGCAGGACAAGACCAGAAGAACCUACUUCAGAAUACCUUUUGCAUAACCCCAUAAAAAUCUGCAAAGUCACAUGGCCAGAGCAUGUGAAGAAGAAGAGAUCUUGACCUGAAAUGACUGCAGAACCAAACUUUCUCGUCUCCAAGGAACCAAGGGCGCGAAAGGUCACUGGAACUUAAAGGUGGACUCUUAUCAGAAGCUCUUAUCAGAGGGGUCUGUCCUUCAGGAAGAUCUGGUGUCCAACAUUCCUUUCCCUCCUUACCAUAAAUGUUUGGAACCUCA
This 393-nucleotide long non-coding RNA is filed under the name Equus asinus (donkey). Its description in RNAcentral is "lncRNA (ENSEASG00005024731.1)". The record is from RNAcentral. Lineage: Eukaryota; Metazoa; Chordata; Mammalia; Perissodactyla; Equidae.